RNAcentral lists this ribosomal RNA (994 nucleotides) under Nomius pygmaeus. RNAcentral describes it as "eukaryotic LSU rRNA". It matches the Rfam family "Eukaryotic large subunit ribosomal RNA", at positions 104 to 836 of the family's 3401-position model. The record is from RNAcentral. Lineage: Eukaryota; Metazoa; Arthropoda; Insecta; Coleoptera; Carabidae.
GAAGCCCACAGUCGGUAACGAUUGUCGGGCAAUGUAGUGUUUGGGAGAGCCCGUUUAACCCGAGCGCUGUGUAACGUGUCCAAGUCCUUCUUGAACGGGGCCACACUCCCAUAGAGGGUGCCAGGCCCGUAGUGACCGUUACCUUGUUCGGGUGGGUUUCUCCUUAAAGUCGGGUUGCUUGAGAGUGCAGCUCUAAGUGGGUGGUAAACUCCAUCUAAGGCUAAAUAUAACCACGAGACCGAUAGCGAACAAGUACCGUGAGGGAAAGUUGAAAAGAACUUUGAAGAGAGAGUUCAAUAGUACGUGAAACCGUUCAGGGGUAAACCUGAAAAACCCGAAAGUUCGAAUGGGGAGAUUCAAACGUCUCGCCGGUGUUGACCUUACGUUAGCGAUAUUACGAGACGGUAUAUAACACUUGUGUUAUAUUGAUCGCUCCGUUAGCGUUUGUUUGUUUGAUGCCGGAGAUGUGCACUUCUCCCCUUGUAGAACGUCGCAACCCGUUGGGUGCCCAUCUAAGGCUUAUGCGGUCAGACCGUAGUGAUAAAGUUUUGCUUUACCGUUGCGGACCCAUAAUGUCCCGAUAGGCACGCUCGACGCUAUAACAUAAUGAUGGUAGAUCGCUGUUGCUCUUUGUGGCAGUAAAGCGUUCUGGCCCGUGUCAAGUGUAUAUACAGUCUGUAGACAUCGGACCUAGUUGCCGGUUCUGCGUGUAUAUCACUGUUAGGCAUGGUGUCCUCUAGAACCGGUCUUCUUUCAUCCGUUAGCGACGCUUCAGCUUUGGGUAAUUUCAGGACCCGUCUUGAAACACGGACCAAGGAGUCUAGCAUGUACGCAAGUCAUUGGGACUAAAUUAAACCUAAAGGCGUAAUGAAAGUAAAGGUUAUACCUUGUGUAUAUACCGAGGGAGGAUGAGCGACACAAGUUGUUACUUCGCACUCCCGGGGCGUUCCGCACUCAUUGCGAUAGUCGGGCGCGCAAAGAUGGUACACUAUCA